Molecule: long non-coding RNA, 4359 nt
Organism: Peromyscus californicus insignis
Lineage: Eukaryota; Metazoa; Chordata; Mammalia; Rodentia; Cricetidae
Exons: 4
Source: RefSeq, a predicted model, not a curated record
CAGAAUCGUGGAUGGAUAGUAUAUGUGUUGUAAAUGAUUAUGUUAACUAUUUUCUGAUAAAAAAAAAAAUUCCCUAACCCAUCUGCUGUACUUUCUAAUUUUGUGCCGUGAUUCCGACAGAAUUUACACCUUCUCUUCAAAGGACUCUUCCUCAAGAUCUCCAGCAAUUCCUGGAGUCCCUCGGAUACUAUUUCCGCCUCUUGCUAUUCAAGCUCAAGGAGUUGUAUGGUUACCCUUCAUUUCUGGCUUGUCAGGAUCAUCCUUUGUUGUUCCUUCAAUUGUGCUACACCUCUGCCAAGAUUCAACUGCAAGUUGUACGCUUGAAAAGACAGGACUUCCUGUUGUCCUCCAGCCCCUACUUUACAGGUUAAACAAAGACAAGCAAACAGAAAGGAUUUCAGCUUCCACAAAACCAAGGACAGAAUCCACUUCUGGGAUAGCAGAAGGUCUUUCCAGCCUCUGAAGCAGUCAGGAAGGAAAGGUACAUUUCAGAAUUCAGGGUCUUGAGCAUGUGAGGAUUGGACACUUCCCAGGGUUUACUGCUACCAGUUUGGAAGAUCCUGCCUUUAGAAGAUCAUGCUUUGUGACUGAGAAUGUGGGAAAACCAUCUCUAAAUAAGAGAGUAUCUUGAUGAGUCCCUUGAAUCCCAACCAAGUCCAACAAUUCAAAAUUGUGUGUUUUACAACCUGUUUCUGCUGAAGAAUCUACACAGUGGUUCCUUGUUGCCCUCACCACUAGGAACAAAAUCCUUGUUCUCAUUCCCACUGAAGUUAGUGGAGGCUUGGAUAGCCUGAGAGUAAAUUUUUUAUAAAUCCUGGCUUGUAUGCUCCCAUUGCAAUUAGUGAGGAUUAGGAUGCUAUACUAGCUUUCUGUUGGUAGAGAGAAAGUAACCUUAGUUCCUUUGGCUAAUUUGUGACAAAGAAGCAUUCUUGGCUUUAACCAAUGAAAUCAUGCUCAUUUGUAAAUGGAUUAGUGCAGAAUUUGCCUAGCUUUUUCCCCUUCCUACUUCAACUAUACUUGCUAUGGGUUUUAAAAAAAUGCAUGAGAACUAUUUUAUUCCUACUUUUUCAUACUAAAAAGUUAUUGUGGGAAUUUCUCUUAUUCCAGUUAUCAAUACACUAAUGUGCACACACAGACACCCAUACACACAUGCAAUCUUUUAAUGCUAUCUAGUUAGACAACUAGUCUUACUCUGAAUCCUGUAAAUAUAUGGGCUUUUAAAUCUGGAUCUGAUAUCAUUGCUCUGUAAUUCCAGUUGAUAGGAAUAGACAAUGGCUUAUGUGGCCUUCAUAACAAGUUUAAAGUCAGCCUGUGCAAGUUAACAAGAUCCUGUCUCAAUUUAUAUGAACAGAUAAAUUAAACGCAGUGACGGAGUGUAUGCCUAGCAUGUACAAGACCCUAGGUUCAACCUCUGGUAUUGCACAAAGCAAACAAACCCACUAGUAGAAAGCAGCCUUAUAGAUCAGUAGGAAUUGAUAGAAAAAUAAUAAGAGAUGAAGGUACAGGUCAAGGAUAGAACACUUACCUAGCAUGGACAAGGCCCUGAUUCAACCUUUAUAACACGAAUUCCUAAGUGAUCUUAAUAAUAAUAAUAAAAAAAACCCAGAGCCAGAUAGUAGGAUAAAUGCUGAAAGAUCAGAGAGACAAAGGAACAAGCCACUGCCACGUCUCACCUCUAGGACCCCUUAGCCUGAAAAGCCUCAACCAAUAGACCUCCAGCUGAAUGAGCUUCCCCAGCUGAAAAGGUUUCAGCCAAAAAAGCCUCUAGCUGAAAGGAACGUUUCUGCUGAAAAGCCUUUAAUUCCUGUCUCCUUACGACUUAUAUAUCUUUCUCUGCCCAGCCAUCACUUCCUGGAAUUAAAGGCAUGUGUGCUUCCCAGUACUGGGAUUCAAGGCGUGUGCCACCACUGCAUGGCUCUGCUUCUUGCCUAGACUGAAUCAAUCUCAUGUAGUCCAGGGCAGCUUUGAACUCAUAGAGAUCCAGACAGAUCUCUGCCUCCCAAGUGCUAGGAUUAAAGCUGUGUGCCACCACUUCCUGGCAUCUAUGUUUAAUCUUGUGGCUUAUUUUAUUAGGGUCUUCAGGCAAAUUUUAUUAGGGUACACAAUAUAUGACCACAAACCUUCAGCAACACACACACACACACACACACACACACACACACACACACACACACUCAAGACUUAGACAACUUACUUUUGUACUAGCCAAUAUUAAUAUAUGCCACAUAUAGCAAACUGAGAAUGACAUAGACUUUUGAUACCACAAAGUCCAAACCCAGAAACACACUUCCAGUGACAAAGCUCUGUCUCUCUAAUCUAUCCAAUCAUUUCCACCAACUGGGGCCUAAAUAUUCAAAUAAUCAGCCUAUGGGAGGCAUUGUCAUUCAAACCAUCACAGAUACAUAUGCAUGUAUAUAUCCAUAUUCUUAGAGAAUUUAUAGUGUGAAUUCCUGUGUUUUUUUUUUAAGACAGGGUAUCAUGUUUUCCAGGUUGCCCUUGAACUAAUCUAUAGCCAAGAAUGACCUUGAACUUCUUAUCCUCUUCCAUUUACCUUCAGGGUGCUGUGUUCACAGACCUGUGCCAUCAGGCCUGGUUAAUGUGGUAUUGGCAAGCUCUCUAUCAAAUGAGCUAUAUCCUUAGCCUUACACUUUCUGAAUUCUUCAGCAACACUGCUCCUAUCCCUCUUUAAGUGGUUCCACCAUUAGAUGGGAUUAAAACUGAUGGAUCACUUCAUAAAUUUCUCCACUUUUAUAAAAUUAUCUAGUAAUUAAUUUUAGCAGCACCAUGUUUCACAAUUGUCGGGCCCACAAUUCCUGUGCUAGUCUGUGUGAAAAGCAUCUCCUGGAAUUUUGCAAUGCAGAAAUUUCUGUAGCAGAAACAAUUGGCUGUCUAUCUCAGACCCAUUACUAGCUUUUUCCUUUGUGGUAGGGCCACUGACUUAUUUGGAAAGCCCACUCUCUUCCUCAUGAAUAGAACUCACUAAGCCAAACAUAACACACAGUUGUUUGUCUUUGCUGGUGAUUGGUUUUAGGGUGGACAUAUGACAAAGGUCUGGCAUAAGGGAAGGUCUCUGGCAACCUCACUGAUAAAUAAAAAGACAUGUCUGCUUUCUUAUGCCAGCCAUUGUCAUGUGCAGAGAUGUGAUCCAUGAAGCUGGGGAGAGUUUGUGCCUAUAAAGAGAGAAGCCUGAGGGCAGGCUACAGUUAGUGGCCAUGUGGCAUGGCAAAUCUGUGAUGAAAUACCACAGCUUUCUGGUCUACAACACACAAUGACAGAAUGACAACUCAGAACACUUAAAGUCAGGGACUCUCCAGCCAGAAGACAGCCAGAGCGUGAGUUCUCCGGUAUCUCCCCACGCACUCUGGACAGUUUUCUGGCUGAGCACUGAGACACGUAUGUGGGGAGAAGACCUCAGCUGCAGAAAAGGACUGAGAUGAGAUCUGAGCUAAUGCAAAGCUGAUGGUGGGGGUUCAGUCAAAUUAACCAGACAGAGGACGACAAUAGAAUACAACGUGCCACUUACAAGGUCCAGAAUGUGGUUGAAAUUCUCUGAACAUAGAGAGAAUAAGAAAAGGGUAGCAGUCAACAUACACCAGCAUCAAUAUGUCCCCAUUAUCAUAGUGAGCAUUGGGAGACUUAAAGAAGCUGGGCUCAGUGAGAUAUACGAAGGUAAAGGAAAAUGUGUUCAUACUGUCUUCAUAGCAGGGACGGAACUAAUCAAAAGGAAGACAAACUAACAUUAAAAAAAUACAGUGUUCUAAAAUUUUUUUACUUAAUAGAAUGAAGAGCUCAAAGGAGUCUAUAAACUGAACUUAACUCAAUGGUAGUUGUAUAUCUUAAAAAUAGAGAUAAUAAGGUUUUGAUAAUAAAAAGAAACUUAAAGACCUGUGGCAUAGUUGUAUGCUUCAUAAUGUCCAAGAGGAAAAAAUGCCAGCCUGUGGCAAUAGCAAGAAGAACUGGCCAAAAUUUACCUAACAAGGUGAUAGACAAAAUUUAUAGACAUGUAUAAGUGUAAUGACUCCUAAACUUGUGUAAAUAACCGUCCUACAUCUCUGAAAGCAAUCCAAGUUGCUGUAGGAAAUUUCACCAAAAGAAAACUGUGGUUCCCAUUUGUGUCACUGGUGAAUUCUAAUGUUGAUGAAGAAAAGACCCCAGUGUUGUGUAUUUCAAUAGGAAGAAGUUGAAGAUUUCCAAUUUAUGUUAUGGAAUGAAGAGAAAAUGUGAAAAAGACAUUGAAAAUAUUAAACACAAUAUUAAAGCAUUAAAGACCAAUAUCUUUUCUGAGAACAAAAUAGCUCAAGAAUUGCCUUAUGAAGCCAAAACAAUAUAUUAAAAAAUCACAUUAAAUCUAUUCAGUCU